Molecule: ribosomal RNA, 1463 nt
Filed under: Streptococcus thermophilus
Lineage: Bacteria; Bacillati; Bacillota; Bacilli; Lactobacillales; Streptococcaceae
Description: bacterial SSU rRNA
Rfam family: Bacterial small subunit ribosomal RNA
Source: RNAcentral
CGGCGUGCCUAAUACAUGCAAGUAGAACGCUGAAGAGAGGAGCUUGCUCUUCUUGGAUGAGUUGCGAACGGGUGAGUAACGCGUAGGUAACCUGCCUUGUAGCGGGGGAUAACUAUUGGAAACGAUAGCUAAUACCGCAUAACAAUGGAUGACACAUGUCAUUUAUUUGAAAGGGGCAAUUGCUCCACUACAAGAUGGACCUGCGUUGUAUUAGCUAGUAGGUGAGGUAAUGGCUCACCUAGGCGACGAUACAUAGCCGACCUGAGAGGGUGAUCGGCCACACUGGGACUGAGACACGGCCCAGACUCCUACGGGAGGCAGCAGUAGGGAAUCUUCGGCAAUGGGGGCAACCCUGACCGAGCAACGCCGCGUGAGUGAAGAAGGUUUUCGGAUCGUAAAGCUCUGUUGUAAGUCAAGAACGGGUGUGAGAGUGGAAAGUUCACACUGUGACGGUAGCUUACCAGAAAGGGACGGCUAACUACGUGCCAGCAGCCGCGGUAAUACGUAGGUCCCGAGCGUUGUCCGGAUUUAUUGGGCGUAAAGCGAGCGCAGGCGGUUUGAUAAGUCUGAAGUUAAAGGCUGUGGCUCAACCAUAGUUCGCUUUGGAAACUGUCAAACUUGAGUGCAGAAGGGGAGAGUGGAAUUCCAUGUGUAGCGGUGAAAUGCGUAGAUAUAUGGAGGAACACCGGUGGCGAAAGCGGCUCUCUGGUCUGUAACUGACGCUGAGGCUCGAAAGCGUGGGGAGCGAACAGGAUUAGAUACCCUGGUAGUCCACGCCGUAAACGAUGAGUGCUAGGUGUUGGAUCCUUUCCGGGAUUCAGUGCCGCAGCUAACGCAUUAAGCACUCCGCCUGGGGAGUACGACCGCAAGGUUGAAACUCAAAGGAAUUGACGGGGGCCCGCACAAGCGGUGGAGCAUGUGGUUUAAUUCGAAGCAACGCGAAGAACCUUACCAGGUCUUGACAUCCCGAUGCUAUUUCUAGAGAUAGAAAGUUACUUCGGUACAUCGGUGACAGGUGGUGCAUGGUUGUCGUCAGCUCGUGUCGUGAGAUGUUGGGUUAAGUCCCGCAACGAGCGCAACCCCUAUUGUUAGUUGCCAUCAUUCAGUUGGGCACUCUAGCGAGACUGCCGGUAAUAAACCGGAGGAAGGUGGGGAUGACGUCAAAUCAUCAUGCCCCUUAUGACCUGGGCUACACACGUGCUACAAUGGUUGGUACAACGAGUUGCGAGUCGGUGACGGCGAGCUAAUCUCUUAAAGCCAAUCUCAGUUCGGAUUGUAGGCUGCAACUCGCCUACAUGAAGUCGGAAUCGCUAGUAAUCGCGGAUCAGCACGCCGCGGUGAAUACGUUCCCGGGCCUUGUACACACCGCCCGUCACACCACGAGAGUUUGUAACACCCGAAGUCGGUGAGGUAACCUUUUGGAGCCAGCCGCCUAAGGUGGGACAGAUGAUUGGGGUGAAGUC